AACGAACGCUGGCGGCAUGCCUAACACAUGCAAGUCGAACGAGACCUUCGGGUCUAGUGGCGCACGGGUGCGUAACGCGUGGGAACCUGCCCUUAGGUUCGGAAUAACUCCCCGAAAGGGGUGCUAAUACCGGAUAAUGUCUUCGGACCAAAGAUUUAUCGCCUUUGGAUGGGCCCGCGUUGGAUUAGCUAGUUGGUAGGGUAAAAGCCUACCAAGGCGACGAUCCAUAGCUGGUCUGAGAGGAUGAUCAGCCACACUGGGACUGAGACACGGCCCAGACCCCUACGGGAGGCAGCAGUGGGGAAUAUUGGACAAUGGGCGAAAGCCUGAUCCAGCAAUGCCGCGUGAGUGAUGAAGGCCUUAGGGUUGUAAAGCUCUUUUACCCGGGAUGAUAAUGACAGUACCGGGAGAAUAAGCUCCGGCUAACUCCGU
Molecule: ribosomal RNA, 432 nt
Filed under: uncultured bacterium
Lineage: Bacteria
Description: partial 16S ribosomal RNA
Rfam family: Bacterial small subunit ribosomal RNA
Source: RNAcentral